Molecule: ribosomal RNA, 910 nt
Filed under: uncultured bacterium
Lineage: Bacteria
Description: bacterial SSU rRNA
Rfam family: Bacterial small subunit ribosomal RNA
Source: RNAcentral
ACGCUGGCGGCAGGCUUAACACAUGCAAGUCGAACGGUAACAGGGAUUAGCUUGCUAAUUUGCUGACGAGUGGCGGACGGGUGAGUAAUGCUUGGGAAUCUGGCUUAUGGAGGGGGAUAACUACGGGAAACUGUAGCUAAUACCGCGUAAAAUCUUCGGAUUAAAGGGUGGGACUUUCGAGCCACCUGCCAUAAGAUGAGCCCAAGUGGGAUUAGGUAGUUGGUUAGGUAAAGGCUGACCAAGCCGACGAUCUCUAGCUGGUCUGAGAGGAUGACCAGCCACACUGGAACUGAGACACGGUCCAGACUCCUACGGGAGGCAGCAGUGGGGAAUAUUGCACAAUGGGCGGAACCCUGAUGCAGCCAUGCCGCGUGAAUGAAGAAGGCCUUUGGGUUGUAAAGUUCUUUCGGUGACGAGGAAGGUUGAUAGGUUAAUAGCCUAUCAAAUUGACGUUAAUCACAGAAGAAGCACCGGCUAACUCCGUGCCAGCAGCCGCGGUAAUACGGGGGGUGCGAGCGUUAAUCGGAAUAACUGGGCGUAAAGGGCACGCAGGCGGUGACUUAAGUGAGAUGUGAAAGCCCCGGGCUUAACCUGGGAAUUGCAUUUCAUACUGGGUCGCUAGAGUACUUUAGGGAGGGGUAGAAUUCCACGUGUAGCGGUGAAAUGCGUAGAGAUGUGGAGGAAUACCGAAGGCGAAGGCAGCCCCUUGGGAAUGUACUGACGCUCAUGUGCGAAAGCGUGGGGAGCAAACAGGAUUAGAUACCCUGGUAGUCCACGCUGUAAACGAUGUCGAUUUGGGGAUUGGGCUUUGAGCUUGGUGCCCGUAGCUAACGUGAUAAAUCGACCGCCUGGGGAGUACGGCCGCAAGGUUAAAACUCAAAUGAAUUGACGGGGGCCCGCACAAGCGGUG